AUUGAACGCUGGCGGCAUGCUUUACACAUGCAAGUCGAACGGUAACGCGGGGGCAACCCUGGCGACGAGUGGCGAACGGGUGAGUAACACAUCGGAACGUAUCCUGGAAUGGGGGAUAACCUAUCGAAAGGUAGGCUAAUACCGCAUACGCUCGGGAGAGGAAAGUGGGGGAUUCGCAAGGACCUCACGUUUUAGGAGCGGCCGAUGUCCGAUUAGCUAGUUGGUGGGGUAAAGGCUUACCAAGGCGACGAUCGGUAGCUGGUCUGAGAGGAUGAUCAGCCACACUGGGACUGAGACACGGCCCAGACUCCUACGGGAGGCAGCAGUGGGGAAUUUUGGACAAUGGGGGCAACCCUGAUCCAGCCAUGCCGCGUGAGUGAAGAAGGCCUUCGGGUUGUAAAGCUCUUUCAGCCGGAAAGAAAUCGCACUGGUUAAUACCUUGUGUGGAUGACGGUACCGGAAGAAGAAGCACCGGCUAACUACGUGCCAGCAGCCGCGGUAAUACGUAGGGUGCGAGCGUUAAUCGGAAUUACUGGGCGUAAAGCGUGCGCAGGCGGUUUUGUAAGACAGAUGUGAAAUCCCCGGGCUUAACCUGGGAACUGCAUUUGUGACUG
This 614-nucleotide ribosomal RNA is filed under the name uncultured Pseudomonadota bacterium. Its description in RNAcentral is "bacterial SSU rRNA". It matches the Rfam family "Bacterial small subunit ribosomal RNA", at positions 28 to 635 of the family's 1533-position model. The record is from RNAcentral. Lineage: Bacteria; Pseudomonadati; Pseudomonadota.